GACGAACGCUGGCGGCGUGCUUAACACAUGCAAGUCGAACGGAAAGGCCCUGCUUUUGUGGGGUGCUCGAGUGGCGAACGGGUGAGUAACACGUGAGUAACCUGCCCUUGACUUUGGGAUAACUUCAGGAAACUGGGGCUAACACCGGAUAGGAGCUCCUGCUGCAUGGUGGGGGUUGGAAAGUUUCGGCGGUUGGGGAUGGACUCGCGGCUUAUCAGCUUGUUGGUGGGGUAGUGGCUUACCAAGGCUUUGACGGGUAGCCGGCCUGAGAGGGUGACCGGCCACAUUGGGACUGAGAUACGGCCCAGACUCCUACGGGAGGCAGCAGUGGGGAAUAUUGCACAAUGGGUGGAAGCCGGAUGCAGCAACGCCGUGUGCGGGAUGACGGCCUUCGGGUUGUAAACCGCUUUCGCUCAUGACGAAGCUUUGUGUGACGGUAGUGGGUAAAGAAGCACCGGCUAACUACGUG
This 469-nucleotide ribosomal RNA is filed under the name uncultured bacterium. Its description in RNAcentral is "partial 16S ribosomal RNA". It matches the Rfam family "Bacterial small subunit ribosomal RNA", at positions 28 to 507 of the family's 1533-position model. The record is from RNAcentral.